Molecule: long non-coding RNA, 1076 nt
Organism: Tachysurus fulvidraco (yellow catfish)
Lineage: Eukaryota; Metazoa; Chordata; Actinopteri; Siluriformes; Bagridae
Exons: 3
Source: RefSeq, a predicted model, not a curated record
CAAUUUUCCAGAGAUGCCAAUCAACCUACCAUGCAUGUCUUUGGACCGGGGGAGGAAACCGGAGUACCCUGACGAAACCCCUGAGGCACGGGGAGAACAUGCAAACUCCACACACACAAAUUUGUCAGGUGAAAUUUUAAUCUUGAUGUUACAUCAUGGAUUAAACAAGGAUUAAGAGCGUUUACCCCACACGAAAUACCGACAGGCGGCAAUUUGAAUAAUUUGUGUUGCGUAAUUGCGCCAUUAUGUGAGAAGAAUAGACGCACUCUCGUGGUGAACAGUUGCUUCAUCUGGCAGCCUGCGUUUUCUUUUAGUCUCGUCUAAAGACUUCGGUGCUUUGCUCCGUUGCUUUGAGCUGGGAUUUAGCCACCAUCGUGUCUUCUGCUUGGAUGAGUUCACACAGUCAGUAUGUAAGGAAUGUAAUUAGGUUUUUGAAAUGAUCUGCUGCCAUUGUUGCUUUCCAUUUAAAGCCCCAACCACAUUACUGGUCAAUCCUCUUAGAUAUUGUCCUUCAGCACUGCAUACACUCAACAUCUGCUUCCAUCACAAACAGGUGGACUGAAUGAAGAGAAAAAAAACACAAGUUAGAUGUUAAUAGCAGAGAACAGAAGUUUGUUUGGAUCCUCUGGCCAUCGUCACACAGACAGUUAUUCUACAAUCUGAAUCGUCCAGGGUCAAAAACAUGGACGUGAAAUAGGACUGGAAGAGAAACAUCCCAGUGCAUUCUCGAAGACGGGACGUCCCAUUACUGCGUCAGAACUGGACAUGGUUUUGGGAAAAGGUUUAUACUAAAGAUAUUUGAGCUGUGUGAUGUCAUCAGCCGAGAGCUUACACCGAGGCCAUAUGGCUGACUGCCUGCUGCUCUAAUCCAAUCACAACCUGCUCUUCCUGUCACACACACACACACACACACACACACACACACACACACACACACACACACACACAAGCAGGAAUGUAUAUGAAUUCAUGCUGACACUUGUACGCAUAUGCACACUCAUCAACAGUCAGUCAUAUCACUCUUGUACACACAUGCUAACAUACAGACUCUACAAUAUACAGGCCAUUAAACUCAA